GACGAACGCUGGCGGCGUGCUUAACACAUGCAAGUCGAACGGAAAGGCCCUGCUUUUGUGGGGUGCUCGAGUGGCGAACGGGUGAGUAACACGUGAGUAACCUGCCCUUGACUUUGGGAUAACUUCAGGAAACUGGGGCUAAUACCGGAUAGGAGCUCCUGCUGCAUGGUGGGGGUUGGAAAGUUUCGGCGGUUGGGGAUGGACUCGCGGCUUAUCAGCUUGUUGGUGGGGUAGUGGCUUACCAAGGCUUUGACGGGUAGCCGGCCUGAGAGGGGGACCGGCCACAUUGGGACUGAGAGACAGCACAGACUCCUACGGGAGGCAGCGGUGGGGAAUGUUGCACAAUGGGCGGAAGCCUGAUGCAGCAACGCCGCGUGCGGGAUGACGGCCUUCGGGUUGUAAACCGCUUUCGCCUGGGACGAAGCGUGAGUGACGGGAAUGGGUAAAGAAGCACCGGAUAACUACG
This 466-nucleotide ribosomal RNA is filed under the name uncultured bacterium. Its description in RNAcentral is "partial 16S ribosomal RNA". It matches the Rfam family "Bacterial small subunit ribosomal RNA", at positions 28 to 505 of the family's 1533-position model. The record is from RNAcentral.